GGUAGAUUCUGCCCCUUGAAACAAGCGUGUCUCAAAGAUUAAGCCAUGCAUGUCUAAGUACACACUGCGGCACAGGGAAACGCGCAAAUGGCUCCUUAAAUCACUUAUGGUGUAUGAGAUCGCGCGUUCUAUGGGGAUAACUGCGGAAAUUAAAGAGCUAAUACAUGCAACUGGCCCUGACUGAACGGAGGGGCGCUUUUAUUAGAUAAAAACAAAGGAGACAUCGGUCAGUAUUUGUGAUCGACGCUGGAGAACUUUAUGCCGACCGCAUGGCCUUGCACCGGCGGCAAAUCUUUCAAAUGUCUGCACUAUCAACUAUCGAUGGAAAGGUGACAUGUUUAUCAUGGGGGUAACGGGCAACGGAGAAUCAGGGAUCGAUUCCGGAGAGGGAGCCUGAGAAACGGCUACACACAUCCAAAGAAGGAAGCAGGCGCGCAAAUUAGCCACUCCCGGCACGGGGAGG
RNAcentral lists this ribosomal RNA (463 nucleotides) under uncultured eukaryote. RNAcentral describes it as "bacterial SSU rRNA". It matches the Rfam family "Eukaryotic small subunit ribosomal RNA", at positions 6 to 464 of the family's 1831-position model. The record is from RNAcentral.